CUUCUAUGCGUAAUCAGGUGCACGUCCUUACUCAACAAUGACAGGAGCUCUCCAAACAAAAGACAAAUGACUAAACUGACAAAACUCAAAUGGAAUGAAAUAAACCAAAACUUGUUUCUCACAAGUGUAGCAUGGGUUGUGUGCUCUGCAAACAACGUGUCCAUUCCGACAAUGAGAACCGUGGAAUAAUAAUAUAUUGAAUGCAUUGACAGACAUUACUGUAACCAAACAAACAUUGUAGAUGAUAAAUUAUAGGCAUUAACGGUAAAAGUCCUACUGGAGAUAUAAAGUAUGUAAUGGGGAAUUGAUAGACACUAACAAUCAAACGCAAACAAUUCACACAAUCAAGUUAUGAAACAAUGAAUGUGAACAAGUUGGCGGGAGAGAGCAUAUUCUGGAGAGACGUGCAUUGUCCAGCCACACUCCCCUUCUUUUUGGACUCGGCCAUCCCCGCGGCCUCUGCAAUUAAUUAGUUCACCGAGAUGGGUGCAAGUCAGGUGUCGUGUGCCAUAAAAUAUAUAUAUAUUUGCUACUGCUCGACUAAAAACAAUCUCGGUCGAUCAACAGCCUAUCAACCAAACAAUCGACCAGUUGAAAAAUUGGGGUCAGCCCUACUUUCAUCUUCCCCUUGUCUGAAGGUUGUGGCCUGCGAGUUGGACGGUAGACUGGCUGCUGAGCUCCAGAAGUGAGUACCAAAACAAAGGGUAUUCAAAUCAUAGUUGGUCAUAUCCUGGCGGCAUCAAACGGUAAUGUGACAAGCUAUAACAUUAACGUCGAAGAUGAUGGUUCUUUCCAGGUCCACUGCAGUUGAGCAGCUGUUGGAGAGGAACUACAGGAUUCACUGGUCAGUACACAAUGUGGAAAUCCUAGCAGACUUCAGCAGAACCAAGAAGAUUGAGUGUUCUGCACGAGAUAUUGUUUAGUGAGAAGCGAGCCAGGAGCAUAGACAGACGACUUCAUGGUACUUCACACAUUCAACUCCUAAGCAGACGGUACUGCUGAGGACUUGGUGCAGGAAAGCAAUAUUGUGGAAACCUAUCCAGUUUUUAAACCUCCAGUGCUCUUUAAGGAAUGGCAAGUGGAAGGUGUUAUGGAUUGUUGAGACACAUCCAAGUCAUGUGACUGAUGGAUGAUGACUACACUCACUGGCUAGAUCGAUGCAGCUAGACACCACACUGGCUUACCCCCCUGGACUACCUUCGUUAUGCCUUUUCUAUGAAAAUGAGCUCGUGAUCAGUGAAAUGUACAUAUUUAUUAAGUGGUUAAGUGUAUAGCUAUCCAAACUCCUUGUUCCGGCCAAACGCUACGCCACACCCUCGGUCGUUAAGUUUCUUCUCCCAUAACGAGUCUGGGUACCUCCACGACAAUUUCGCAAACACAUUCUAACCGUUCUGAUUGGAUCCAGAAAGCGGUGGGUUGGGACAGAGCCAGAACACACAUGGGUAAAGCAGCGUUUAGAAAAUUAGUCAUUAGCUUUGAUUGGUUAGAGAUGAUGCAAUCGCUGACUACUUUUUGUAUAACACCCCUCAUUUUGACGUCACCACAAACGACGGCAGUCUGACUGAAGUAUGUAGCAAACAUAGAGCAGCGUAAUAAUUAUGUUGGGAGUCGUCAGGCAAGUGUACAGUUAAUGCUCAUACAUAAAAUAGAUGCACUAAAA
This is a non-coding RNA of Salmo salar (Atlantic salmon), 1660 nucleotides long. The record is from RefSeq and is a predicted model, not a curated record. NCBI's taxonomy places the organism in Eukaryota, Metazoa, Chordata, Actinopteri, Salmoniformes, Salmonidae.